RNAcentral lists this small nuclear RNA (107 nucleotides) under Equus asinus (donkey). Lineage: Eukaryota; Metazoa; Chordata; Mammalia; Perissodactyla; Equidae. The record is from RNAcentral.
CUGCUUGUUUUGGGGGCACAUAUACUAUGAUUGAAAUGAUACAGAGAAGAGUAACAUGACCACUGAGCAAGGAUGACAUGCAAUUUUGUGAAGUAUUUCAUUCUUUU